CGCCCCCUUCCCCAAGCGCGCGCUCGGGGGGCCGCGCGUGCAGCGGAGCCAGGCCGGCCGAGUUGAGGAGCGGAGCGCUGCGGGAUGAGCCGGUGAUUUUGUGUGAGGUGAAGCAACAGUGUCUUUUUCAUGCCAUGAAACUCUUGAAACAGCCGUGUCGGCCAGAGAUGGAGCACUGACUGAAUCGUGUGAAGGCCCGCCAGAGAGCUUCCCGACGUGAACCUACGCUCAGGAGUCAGGAAAGGAUUGCAGAGACAGCUCUAUUCCCCUUGACAGAUCUGUCUGCAGCCACCGACGCAAUCGUUCAUGUACUGAAGACUGAUACCCCACCUCCCCUUCUACCUCAUUUUAUGAAUUUCUG
Long non-coding RNA from Sphaerodactylus townsendi, 361 nucleotides. RefSeq lists it as uncharacterized. The record is from RefSeq and is a predicted model, not a curated record. NCBI's taxonomy places the organism in Eukaryota, Metazoa, Chordata, Lepidosauria, Squamata, Sphaerodactylidae. The transcript is spliced from 3 exons.